Molecule: ribosomal RNA, 161 nt
Filed under: Acyrthosiphon magnoliae
Lineage: Eukaryota; Metazoa; Arthropoda; Insecta; Hemiptera; Aphididae
Rfam family: 5.8S ribosomal RNA
About the family: 5.8S ribosomal RNA (5.8S rRNA) is a component of the large subunit of the eukaryotic ribosome. It is transcribed by RNA polymerase I as part of the 45S precursor that also contains 18S and 28S rRNA.
Source: RNAcentral
CGUCCCCGAACGGCGGAUCACUUGGCUCGUGGAUCGAUGAAGACCGCAGCUAUCUGCGCGUCGUCGUGUAAUCCGCAGGUUAUACGAACAUCGACCAGUCGAACGCACAUUGCGGCCUCGGUGACCCGCGGGCCCCGGGCCACGCCUGUCUGAGGGUCGUA